Molecule: ribosomal RNA, 468 nt
Filed under: uncultured bacterium
Lineage: Bacteria
Description: partial 16S ribosomal RNA
Rfam family: Bacterial small subunit ribosomal RNA
Source: RNAcentral
GACGAACGCUGGCGGCGUGCUUAACACAUGCAAGUCGAACGGAAAGGCCCUGCUUUUGUGGGGUUCUCGAGUGGCGAACGGGUGAGUAACACGUGAGUAACCUGCCCUUGACUUUGGGAUAACUUCAGGAAACUGGGGCUAAUACCGGAUAGGAGCUCCUGCUGCAUGGUGGGGGUUGGAAAGUUUCGGCGGUUGGGGAUGGACUCGCGGCUUAUCAGCUUGUUGGUGGGGUAGUGGCUUACCAAGGCUUUGACGGGUAGCCGGCAUGAGAGGGUGACCGGGCACAUUGGGACUGAGAUACGGCGCAGAGUGCUACGGGAGGCAGUAGUGGGGAAUAUUGUCCAAUGGGAGGAAGUCUGAUGAAGAAACGUCCCGUGCGGGAUGACGGCCUUCGGGGUAUAAACCGCUUUAGCCUGUGACGAAGCGUGAGUGACGGUACUGGGUAAAGAAGCACCGGCUAACUACGUG